GUAAUUAUUAUUAUUAUUUUAGUUAUUUCAAAUAGACAAAAAGCAAAAUAAGAAAUGUAAAAAUAAAACAGAUUGUCAUUGACAUGCAAUUUUACAUAAGUUGUUCAAAAAGGAGCAGGUAGAAGAUACAAGGUUUUCAAAACAGCAAACACAGAGGCCUAAAAAAAAGUGACACAUUUUGUUUGCCAAAAUAUUUAAAGGUGACUCAUUAUGCUAUAGUGUUGGAACUCAGCUGGGGUUGCUAGGUAACAGACAGUGCUGCUGAUUUACAUUCACAAGGAUUUUUGAAACAGCUCAUUUUCCAGACACCAAAAAACAUUAAGUUAUUGCCAAAAACCAGCUGCUUGUUUUUUUUCAAGCAGCUGAGCUUUUUUUUUUUAGAAGCAGUGGAGACUCAAAUAGAAGUUAAAAAAAACAUACAAAAUGUGGGUUUUAACUAUGAGACAAAAGCUAAUAUUACCUUCAACAAAACAACUUGCAACCAAAUGCGUGAUCUCUUCGUAUCAAUCAUUAUAUAACAGUCAAGAAAAUAAAAACACUCAAUGCACCUUCUACAGAAGAUGCACGCCAAAUAUUCCUUCCCUGAAAAUAUUUGAUCCAGUCAUAAAUGCUUUGAUUCCAAUUUUAUUGACUCCAUGACAUUUUUUCAAACUGUGACUGAAAACUGAAAUACAGAGAAUACUGUAAAAGUAAACCAAAAUAAAACCAGAGAAUAAGAAAUUAAGAAAGUAACAAAUUUAUUACAGUAAAGAAAUACCGAUUGUUGAUUCUCAUGCUUCUCUUGGUAGUUUAGUUUGAGACAUCUAACAGAAACAGGU
Xiphophorus hellerii (green swordtail) is the source of this 818-nucleotide long non-coding RNA. RefSeq lists it as uncharacterized. The record is from RefSeq and is a predicted model, not a curated record. The transcript is spliced from 3 exons. NCBI's taxonomy places the organism in Eukaryota, Metazoa, Chordata, Actinopteri, Cyprinodontiformes, Poeciliidae.